This 400-nucleotide ribosomal RNA is filed under the name uncultured bacterium. RNAcentral describes it as "bacterial SSU rRNA". It matches the Rfam family "Bacterial small subunit ribosomal RNA", at positions 355 to 767 of the family's 1533-position model. The record is from RNAcentral.
UGAGGAAUUUUCUGCAAUGGGCGAAAGCCUGACAGAGCAAUACCGCGUGAGGGAUGAAGACUUACUGAGUUGUAAACCUCGGUGCCUUAAGGAAGAAGAUAUGACGGUACUUAAGGUGGAAAGCAUCGGCUGACUCCGUGCCAGCAGCCGCGGUAAGACGGGGGAUGCAAGUGUUAUCCGGAAUCACUGGGCGUAAAGCGUGCGCAGGCGGUCAGACAAGCCAGAUGUGAAAGCCCCGAGCUCAACUUGGGAACUGCGUUUGGAACUGUUUGACUAGAGUGCGUCAGAGGGGGGUAGAAUUCCACGUGUAGCAGUGAAAUGCGUAGAUAUGCGGAGGAACACCAAUGGCGAAGGCAAUCCCCUGGGCCUGCACUGACGCUCAUGCACGAAAGCGUGGGGA